RNAcentral lists this transfer RNA (73 nucleotides) under Ixodes scapularis (black-legged tick). It matches the Rfam family "tRNA". From Rfam's summary of the family: Transfer RNA (tRNA) molecules are approximately 80 nucleotides in length. Their secondary structure includes four short double-helical elements and three loops (D, anti-codon, and T loops). The record is from Rfam by way of RNAcentral. Lineage: Eukaryota; Metazoa; Arthropoda; Arachnida; Ixodida; Ixodidae.
UUUUGGUAAGCUCAGAUGGUAGAGCGCUGCACUGGAAAUGGAGAGAAUUCUGGUUCGGUACCAGGACCAGACG